Pimephales promelas (fathead minnow) is the source of this 231-nucleotide non-coding RNA. The record is from RefSeq and is a predicted model, not a curated record. NCBI's taxonomy places the organism in Eukaryota, Metazoa, Chordata, Actinopteri, Cypriniformes, Leuciscidae.
AUUAAAACAACGUUUGUUAACUUUUGCCAGUGCAUUAUGGGUGAUGAGGUAUAAGACAUGCAGAUUAAAGGUCAAUAAUGCAGUUUCUCAACUGGUAGAAAAAAAGUUGAUUUUUAAGAAAGUUGGCUGAUGGGAAUAGCCGUUAAACUCCGCCCACUUAAUAACGUUAAGCGUUUUGCGCGUUUCGUAAUAAUCACCGGUGCUUUUUCCCACAAAAACAUGUUAAAUAAU